GAUGAACGCUAGCUAUAGGCUUAACACAUGCAAGUCGAGGGGUAACGAGAGGAAAGCUUGCUUUCCUUGUCGACGACCGGCGCACGGGUGAGUAACGCGUAUCCAACCUGCCCCCAACUAAGGAAUAACCUUGCGAAAGUAAGACUAAUACCUUAUAAUUUCCUCAGAUGUCAUCUGACGAGGAAUAAAGAUUUAUCGGUUGUGGAUGGGGAUGCGUCUGAUUAGCUUGUUGGCGGGGUAACGGCCCACCAAGGCAACGAUCAGUAGGGGUUCUGAGAGGAAGGGCCCCCACAUUGGAACUGAGACACGGUCCAAAAUCCUACGGGAGGCAGCAGUGAAGAAUAUUGGUCAAUGGGCGAAAGCCUGAACCAGCCAAGUAGCGUGCAGGAUGACGGCCCUAUGGGUUGUAAACUGCUCUUAUACAGGAAUAAAGUUAGCCACGUGUGGUUAUUUGUAGGUACUGUAUGAAUAAGGACCGGCUAAUUCCGUGCCAGCCGCCGCGGUAA
Molecule: ribosomal RNA, 506 nt
Filed under: uncultured bacterium
Lineage: Bacteria
Description: partial 16S ribosomal RNA
Rfam family: Bacterial small subunit ribosomal RNA
Source: RNAcentral